RNAcentral lists this ribosomal RNA (270 nucleotides) under uncultured soil bacterium. RNAcentral describes it as "partial 16S ribosomal RNA". It matches the Rfam family "Bacterial small subunit ribosomal RNA", at positions 26 to 281 of the family's 1533-position model. The record is from RNAcentral.
AGAAUCAACGCUGGCGGCGUGCCUAACACAUGCAAGUCGAACGCGAAAGGGGAGCAAUCCCUGAGUAGAGUGGCAAACGGGUGAGUAACACGUGGGUGACCUGCCUUCGAGUGGGGGAUAACGUCCCGAAAGGGACGCUAAUACCGCAUGACAUCCUGCUCUUGGACGAGCGGAGAUCAAAGCUGGGGAUUCGCAAGAACCUGGCGCUUGAAGAGGGGCCCGCGCCUGAUUAGCUAGUUGGUGAGGUAACGGCUCACCAAGGCUACGAUC